GACGAACGCUGGCGGCGUGCUUAACACAUGCAAGUCGAACGAGAAGAGAUAAGAAGCUUGCUUCUUAUCGAUUCGAGUGGCAAACGGGUGAGUAACGCGUAAGCAACCUGCCCUCUAGAUGGGGACAACAGCUGGAAACGGCUGCUAAUACCGAAUACGUUCUUUCUGUCGCAUGGCAGAAGGAAGAGAGGGAGGCUCUUCGGAGCUUUCGCUGGAGGAGGGGCUUGCGUCUGAUUAGCUAGUUGGAGGGGUAACGGCCCACCAAGGCGACGAUCAGUAGCCGGUCUGAGAGGAUGAACGGCCACAUUGGGACUGAGACACGGCCCAGACUCCUACGGGAGGCAGCAGUGGGGAAUCUUCCGCAAUGGACGAAAGUCUGACGGAGCAACGCCGCGUGAACGAUGACGGCCUUCGGGUUGUAAAGUUCUGUUAUACGGGACGAAUGGUACGACGGCCAAUACCCGUCGUAAGUGACGGUAC
Molecule: ribosomal RNA, 480 nt
Filed under: uncultured bacterium
Lineage: Bacteria
Description: bacterial SSU rRNA
Rfam family: Bacterial small subunit ribosomal RNA
Source: RNAcentral